GUGUCAGCAGCCGCGGUAAUACGGAGGAUGCAAGCGUUAUCCGGAUUCAUUGGGUUUAAAGGGUGCGCAGGCGGAGUGAUAAGUCAGUGGUGAAAGCCUACAGCUUAACUGUAGAACUGCCAUUGAUACUGUCAUUCUUGAGUAUUGUUGAGGUAGGCGGAAUGUGUCAUGUAGCGGUGAAAUGCUUAGAUAUGACACAGAACACCGAUCGCGAAGGCAGCUUACCAAGCAAUAACUGACGCUCAUGCACGAAAGCGUGGGGAUCAAACAGGAUUAGAAACCCCUGUAGUCC
RNAcentral lists this ribosomal RNA (292 nucleotides) under uncultured bacterium. Its description in RNAcentral is "partial 16S ribosomal RNA". It matches the Rfam family "Bacterial small subunit ribosomal RNA", at positions 505 to 796 of the family's 1533-position model. The record is from RNAcentral.